RNAcentral lists this ribosomal RNA (725 nucleotides) under uncultured bacterium. Its description in RNAcentral is "bacterial SSU rRNA". It matches the Rfam family "Bacterial small subunit ribosomal RNA", at positions 769 to 1498 of the family's 1533-position model. The record is from RNAcentral.
CAAAACAGGAUUAGAUACCCUGGUAGUCCACGCCCUAAACGAUGAAUGUUAGUCGUUGGAGUCCUAGUGACUUCAGUGAUGCAGCUAACGCAUUAAACAUUCCGCCUGGGGAGUACGGUCGCAAGACUAAAACUCAAAGGAAUAGACGGGGACCCGCACAAGUGGUGGAGCAUGUGGUUUAAUUCGAAGAUACGCGAAGAACCUUACCUGGCCUUGACAUUGAUGGAACCCGCUAGAGAUAGUGGGGUGCCCUUCGGGGAGCCUGAAAACAGGUGCUGCACGGCUGUCGUCAGCUCGUGUCGUGAGAUGUUGGGUUAAGUCCCGCAACGAGCGCAACCCUCGUCACUAGUUACUAACGGUUCGGCCGAGGACUCUAGUGAGACUGCCUUCGCAAGGAGGAGGAAGGUGAGGACGACGUCAAGUCAUCAUGGCCCUUACGGCCAGGGCAACACACGUGCUACAAUGGGUAGGACAAUGAGACGCGAUGCCGCGAGGUGGAGCAAAUCUAUAAACCUAUUCUCAGUUCGGAUUGUAGUCUGCAACUCGACUACAUGAAGCUGGAAUCACUAGUAAUCGUAGAUCAGCUAUGCUACGGUGAAUACGUUCCCGGGUCUUGUACUCACCGCCCGUCACACCAUGGGAGUUGAUUUCACCCGAAGCGGGGAAGCUAAACUGGCUACCCUCCACGGUGGGAUCAGCGACUGGGGUGAAGUCGUAACAAGGUA